AGAGUUUGAUCAUGGCUCAGAAUCAACGCUGGCGGCGCGCUUAACACAUGCAAGUCGCACGAGAAAGGGGAGCAAUCCCUGAGUACAGUGGCGUACGGGUGAGUAACACGUGGAUGAUCUACCCUCUAGUGGGGAAUAACCAUGGGAAACCGUGGCUAAUACCGCAUAAGCUCGAGAGAGGAAAGCAGCAAUGCGCUGGAAGAGGAGUCCGCGGCCGAUUAGCUAGUUGGCAGGGUAAAAGCCUACCAAGGCAGAGAUCGGUAGCCGGCCUGAGAGGGCACACGGCCACACUGGCACUGAAACACGGGCCAGACUCCUACGGGAGGCAGCAGUGGGGAAUCUUGCACAAUGGGGGAAACCCUGAUGCAGCGACGCCGCGUGAGCGAUGAAGCCCUUCGGGGUGUAAAGCUCUUUCGGCAGGGAAGAUGAUGACGGUACCUGCAGAAGCAGCUGCGGCUAACUACGUGCCAGCAGCCGCGGUA
RNAcentral lists this ribosomal RNA (482 nucleotides) under uncultured Acidobacteriota bacterium. RNAcentral's name for it is "bacterial SSU rRNA". It matches the Rfam family "Bacterial small subunit ribosomal RNA", at positions 8 to 522 of the family's 1533-position model. The record is from RNAcentral. Lineage: Bacteria; Pseudomonadati; Acidobacteriota.